RNAcentral lists this ribosomal RNA (755 nucleotides) under Fructobacillus fructosus. RNAcentral's name for it is "bacterial SSU rRNA". It matches the Rfam family "Bacterial small subunit ribosomal RNA", at positions 63 to 800 of the family's 1533-position model. The record is from RNAcentral. Lineage: Bacteria; Bacillati; Bacillota; Bacilli; Lactobacillales; Lactobacillaceae.
CGUACGAACAGCGGAAAGUGCUUGCACUUUCCAAGUAAGUGGCGAACGGGUGAGUAACACGUGAAUAACCUACCUCAAAGUCUGGGAUAACCAUUGGAAACAGUGACUAAUACCGGAUAAAACCCAAGUGCACAUGCACUAAGGUUAAAAGCUGCGUUUGCAGCGCUUUAAGAUGGAUUCGCGGUGCAUUAGUUAGUUGGUGAGGUAAAGGCUCACCAAGACGAUGAUGCAUAGCCGAGUUGAGAGACUGACCGGCCACAUUGGGACUGAGACACGGCCCAAACUCCUACGGGAGGCUGCAGUAGGGAAUCUUCCACAAUGGGCGCAAGCCUGAUGGAGCAACGCCGCGUGUGUGAUGAAGGCUUUCGGGUCGUAAAGCACUGUUGUAUGGGAAGAACGGGUUUAAGAGGAAAUGCUUAAACAGUGACGGUACCAUACCAGAAAGGGACGGCUAAAUACGUGCCAGCAGCCGCGGUAAUACGUAUGUCCCGAGCGUUAUCCGGAUUUAUUGGGCGUAAAGCGAGCGCAGACGGUUGCUUAAGUCUGAAGUGAAAGCCCACAGCUCAACUGUGGAAUGGCUUUGGAAACUGGGCAACUUGAGUGCAGUAGAGGUAAGUGGAACUCCAUGUGUAGCGGUGGAAUGCGUAGAUAUAUGGAAGAACACCAGUGGCGAAGGCGGCUUACUGGACUGCAACUGACGUUGAGGCUCGAAAGUGUGGGUAGCAAACAGGAUUAGAUACCCUGGUAGUCCACAC